This is a long non-coding RNA of Lycium ferocissimum, 823 nucleotides long. RefSeq lists it as uncharacterized. The transcript is spliced from 2 exons. The record is from RefSeq and is a predicted model, not a curated record. NCBI's taxonomy places the organism in Eukaryota, Viridiplantae, Streptophyta, Magnoliopsida, Solanales, Solanaceae.
GCCCUUUUCUUUUGCUUUUCUUUUGAAAUUACUGAGUCAAAAACUUGAUCGUUGCAGUCUUAUUUGUUGUACUGUGUUCGUAUUUACUCAAACCUCAUUGGUUGAAGGUGAAUGGGUCGGAUCGAGUUUAACAAGGCUCAGAUCUGACCAUUCGUUGUUGUUGAAUCAAUUUAAGCCGUAGAUGUCGUUUGCAAAGGUUAAAUUCUAGGCAAAUUGUUUGUCCCACAUCAUUGAUUUUUUACUCCUUUGUAUGAACUUUGGGUUCUAUAAAUAGAAACCCAACCCUCACAAUUGAAACAGGGUCUUGAACCCUCAAGCAAAGCAAAAGCUUAAAAUUUAAGUUCAUUCGAAUUUAAAGCUGUGUUUUAGUAAAAUUUUAUUCUUAACUUCAAAGAGUUAGGUUUUCUAGUUCAAAAUUUUGAUUUUAUCUGUUCUUGUGUGUGGCUGAGUCGAGGAAAGGAAGCACUCAGGCUUUCAAGUUUGUUCUUGUACACGGCUGCACAUAAAAAAGGGUCCCUCUUCCUUUUCCUCUCCCCACUGCAUGUCCACUCGAGCCGAGUCAAAACCCACCGGUUGGGUCAAGGCCCAACAGGCAAUUCUUUCGCAAUAUGAUCGAGUCCAACGAAGAAAGGGAAGCUAAUAUUAUAAAUAUAAACAGAAGGCCCAGCCAUAGGUGAAAAUGGCCAACUAGGGGCUUGGUACGCCCUUAGCCUACCCCUUCUCUUUAUUUAUUCUGCAUUUUAUCAUCCUUAAGUUUGUUGUAUUUGUAUUUACAUUACUUGUAAAAAACUCAUAUAUGUUAUCGGAAUCCUUAUUGUUUGAA